RNAcentral lists this unclassified non-coding RNA (21 nucleotides) under synthetic construct. The record is from RNAcentral.
CCUCCUCUGUUUUACUCACAA